This is a long non-coding RNA of Heterocephalus glaber (naked mole-rat), 888 nucleotides long. The record is from Ensembl. NCBI's taxonomy places the organism in Eukaryota, Metazoa, Chordata, Mammalia, Rodentia, Bathyergidae.
AUAUCUUCCAGCUUUAUAAACGCUGUCAACUUCAGGCCUUUUUGUCUGCUUCCCUGGAGUGACACUUCUGCAACUCCCUGAUACUGGUCUGUAUCUCCUAUCUGCUGGUUUCACACUAGAAUAAUGUGCCAAGUGUCUUCUCAGUGUGGGCAGAGUGGUUCUCUAGGAAAUUCAUGCUGUGUUGACUGUUCCCUUGUCCUCAUGUAUUUCCUCUUUAGGGAUGCCGCAUCUUAAUUUUCACCUAACCAGUGUCUAAUUGAGCAAGUCUGUUUGGAUCCUCUCCAUAUCCAAGAAGGAUGGCAAAAUAAGCAUGAAUCGUGAGAUAUUUCUGUAUCUAAACCUGCCUUGCUGAAUUUUAUAUAUAAUAGUGCUUCCUGUGGGCAAGCAUUAUGUUGCUAUGCUGCCUCUUUCCAGAAAUAUAGCUGAUUUGGAAGAUGAAUCUACGAGAAGUUGCCACUUACAUAAUAAAAAGCAAAAGAGAUGUUCAAGUUCAGAUUUGACUAAUAUCCUCAGUGGGAAGACUUGCGGACCAGGCACUGGAAUUCUCUGAAGGCUUCUCCGAGCAUCUCUCCAUGUCUCUGAGCUCUCUCUCUGUGAUCUUGCUGGUCUGGUGGCUUCGGGGUAGCAGGAUAUCUUAUACAUUGUCUCCAAGCCUCAUGUUUUCAAAGAGAGAGUGGCAUAGAGAAUAGAAAGCCAGAAAAAGGUCUAGAUGCAGUGCCUUCAGCAAUAGCAAGGAGAAUAUGGCAAAGAGCUAAAUCACAUUGUCCACUACUGUGCUUGUCAGGCUAUGAGGACCCCUUUAGGUGCUUUGGGAACUUGAUGUUCAAUGGAAUUAUUUUUCACAUUCGUGGAAAGCAGUUUCUCUUAUGCUGCUCACCACAUGGUGGC